This 476-nucleotide long non-coding RNA is filed under the name Pongo abelii (Sumatran orangutan). RNAcentral describes it as "lincRNA". The record is from RNAcentral. Lineage: Eukaryota; Metazoa; Chordata; Mammalia; Primates; Hominidae.
UCCUGUUUGGGGAUUGGAGAGGAAGUGCGUCUGGAUGACUACUAAGAUGAGGAGGCUGAGGCCUAGUGCUCCUAGAGGGCUUGGUCAAGAGCAGGAGGUGGAGGUGGUGGAAGGCUGUUCCCCUGCGCAUUCUAGCCUGUGAGAAGAAGAAAUGUGUGAAAAUUCUGGAGCUUUCCUCUCCCAGGGAUAACUGGAGGCCUUGAGGACUGAAAGAGAAAGUGUCAGUUUUUUGUCCUUGUGAUAGUUUGCUGAGAAUGAUGGUCUCCAGCUUCAUCCAUGUCCCUACAAGGGACAUGAACUCAUCAUUUUUUAUGGCUGCAUAGUAUUCCAUGGUGUAUAUGUGUCACAUUUUCUUAAUCCAGUCUAUCAUUGUUGGACAUUUGGGUUAGUUCCAAGUCUUUGCUAUUGUGAAUAGUGCCGCAAUAAACAUGUACCCUAAAACUUAAAGUAUAAUAAAAAGAAAAAAAACAAAUAAA